AGUGAACGCUGGCGGUAGGCCUAACACAUGCAAGUCGAACGGCAGCACAGUAAGAGCUUGCUCUUACGGGUGGCGAGUGGCGGACGGGUGAGGAAUACAUCGGAAUCUACUUUUUCGUGGGGGAUAACGUAGGGAAACUUACGCUAAUACCGCAUACGACCUACGGGUGAAAGCAGGGGAUCUUCGGACCUUGCGCGAUUGAAUGAGCCGAUGUCGGAUUAGCUAGUUGGCGGGGUAAAGGCCCACCAAGGCGACGAUCCGUAGCUGGUCUGAGAGGAUGAUAAGCCACACUGGAACUGAGACACGGUCCAGACUCCUAUGGGGGGCAGCAGUGGGGAAUAUUGGACAAUGGGCGCAAGCCUGAUCCAGCCAUACCGCGUGGGUGAAGAAGGCCUUCGGGUUGUAAAGCCCUUUUGUUGGGAAAGAAAAGCAGCAGGUUAAUACCCCGCUGUUCUGACGGUACCCAAAGAAUAAGCACCGGCUAACUUCGUGC
Molecule: ribosomal RNA, 493 nt
Filed under: uncultured bacterium
Lineage: Bacteria
Description: partial 16S ribosomal RNA
Rfam family: Bacterial small subunit ribosomal RNA
Source: RNAcentral